This 73-nucleotide transfer RNA is filed under the name Bos taurus (domestic cattle). It matches the Rfam family "tRNA". From Rfam's summary of the family: Transfer RNA (tRNA) molecules are approximately 80 nucleotides in length. Their secondary structure includes four short double-helical elements and three loops (D, anti-codon, and T loops). Further hydrogen bonds mediate the characteristic L-shaped molecular structure. tRNAs have two regions of fundamental functional importance: the anti-codon, which is responsible for specific mRNA codon recognition, and the 3' end, to which the tRNAs corresponding amino acid is attached (by aminoacyl-tRNA synthetases). tRNAs cope with the degeneracy of the genetic code in two manners: having more than one tRNA (with a specific anti-codon) for a particular amino acid; and 'wobble' base-pairing, i.e. permitting non-standard base-pairing at the 3rd anti-codon position. Lineage: Eukaryota; Metazoa; Chordata; Mammalia; Artiodactyla; Bovidae. RNAcentral also lists the same sequence under 5 other names. The record is from Rfam by way of RNAcentral.
UCCCUAGCAGUCCAGUGGUUAAGACUCUGCACUUCUACUGCAGGAGACACAGAUUCGAUUUCUGGUCAAGGAA